RNAcentral lists this long non-coding RNA (314 nucleotides) under Micromonas commoda. RNAcentral describes it as "long non-coding RNA (MCOM_LNC000416)". Lineage: Eukaryota; Viridiplantae; Chlorophyta; Mamiellophyceae; Mamiellales; Mamiellaceae. The record is from RNAcentral.
CCUGCGCGAGCCUCGCGAGCAGCGGCAUCAGCUUCAGCAGCUGCCUGUCGCUCUGGUCGUCGAACCAGCUCUCGAUGGGCACCCCGUUGUCAACCUGAAAGCCAAACGCCUGCGGCGAGUUAUCCACGAUGAUCGUCUUCGCCAGGUCCCGCCCGAGCACGCUCAGGUCCUUCAUGUAGUUACCCUCCACCAGCACGCAGCUCUCGCGGUACAGGCGGUGCUUGAUGAGCACCUGGUUUGGGUCAAUCUUGUUCAGCAAUCGCUCGGCGUACACCCUCUGCGACGCGGUGAAGACGACAACCUCGAAAUGCCGC